GUGGUUUAGGAUUUAUGGUUUAGGGUUUAGGGUUUAGAGUUUAGGGUUUAGGGUUUAGAUUUUAGGGUUUAGGGUUUAGAUUUUAGGGUUUAGGGUUUAGAGUUUAGGGUUUAGAGUUCAGAGUUUAGGGUUUAGGGUUUAUGGUUUAGGGUUUAUGGUUUAGGGUUUAGAGUUUAGGGUUUAGGGUUUAGAGUUGAGAAAUGAGGUUUUGGGGAUAAGAUUUCAAAUUUUGAAAAAUAAAAAAAAUUAAAAUUUUCAAAUGAUAAACUUAGAAAGGUGCUAUUUUGGUCAUUUUAGUUUUUGAGUGCUAUUUUUGUGAUAUAAACUUAGAAAUGUGAUAUUUUGGAGAUUUGCCCUUCUUUUUUUCCUUAUUUUUUUUCCUCCUUUUCAUGCUCUUUCUAUUUCUUUUUUUUUUCUUCUUUUUCC
RNAcentral lists this long non-coding RNA (426 nucleotides) under Brassica napus (rape). RNAcentral's name for it is "long non-coding RNA (BNAP_LNC020914)". The record is from RNAcentral. Lineage: Eukaryota; Viridiplantae; Streptophyta; Magnoliopsida; Brassicales; Brassicaceae.